AAUUUUUUGAAAUUUUCGGGUUAACACAAUAGAGCACUAUCAGCAAUACAUUUGGGGAUUUAUUCAAAAUUACAACAUUUAGGGCUGGUAGAGAGGUGAACGGUGGCUGUAGGUGAACGGCAGUGACGGUGGUCAACGGUGUCGACGGCAGGUGGGUUCUCGGCUUCAGCAGUCUCGCCGGCGGCGUGCUUCUUGGCGUGGGGUGCUGGUUGCUCACGGUUCCGUCUCUCGGCGUGCUUCGGUGAUUUCCAGAUUAUCCUCUCUCAGGAGAAAAAUAUACGGAAACUUAACGAGCUUGUACAAAGUCUACGGGAACAAUUGCUUCAGUGCAGGGGUGGAAAUGAGGUUGACAAUGGCACCACAGCUCCCCUGACAGAACUUCUAACUGAGCUUGAGAGGCAGCCUGUCCUGGAGGACUAGUCCUGGCUUGUACGUGUUAGUUGUCAACUUACCUAAACUUGCAGCCUAAACCAAGCCAUUGAUCCUCAACUUUUCUUUGUUUUUUUUUUCUAGAACUACUCUUCAAUUGUCUCUCUUCAUCCAGAAAUAAUUGAUGGAAGACCAGGGACUUUGGUGAUAGAAUCAUUUAUGGUAGAUGUUCCUGAAGGUAACACGGAAGAUGAAACUUGCUACUUUGUUGAAGCCUUGAUUAAGUGCAAUCUCAAAUCACUUGCUGAUGUCUCAGAGCAGUGUGCAGUCCAAAGUAAUAGCUAUUGAUACAAGUGUGACUUGUAAAAGAAUAUACAAGUUAAUAUUUUGAUUGGUUUUAAAGCAUUGGAUUGGUAGCUAAUUGCAAGAGGCGCAAUAUGGACAAAGAAUGGAUGUCAGCUGAUAGGAUGUCAGUAGAAUAUAUAAAAGGGGUCGAUGAGUUUCUUAAAUUUAGUUUGGAUCAUGCCAAAGAUCCAAACUAUAUUUGUUGUCCUUGUAGUAAGUGUGGAAAUAUGAAAAAGAUGACUGCCACAAUAAUAAAAGAGCACUUAUAUUUCCACGGGAUAGACAAAAGUUAUAAAAUAUGGUAUUGGCAUGGUGAAGAGCUUCAUGUUACUCCGGACCCUCCUAUGAUGAAUGAAUAUCGGAAUUAUAGGCAAUUGGAUCGUGAGGAUAAUUUAGAUGAAAUGAUUGACGAUGCAUAUUAUGAAUCAGAAGUAGAUCCCGUUAAGUUUGAAAAUCUUCUUAAUGACGCUGAAAAGCCGAUUUACUCUGGUUGCACUAAAUUUUCAAAGUUGUCAGCCCUUCUUAGAUUGUACAAUAUAAAAGCCAAAAAUGGAUGGAGUGAUAAGAGUUUCACGGAAUUGUUAGUUUUUUUGAAAGAUUUACUGCCUGAAGAAAACGAGGUGCCCGUAUCAUUUUGACGUCUACUUAGCUCCCCUAAUUGAUGACUUGAAAACUUUAUGGAAUGAAGGAGUUAGGGCUUAUGAUGCAUACCGAAAAGAAGAAUUUACCCUUCGAGCGGUGUUGUUAUGGACAAUCAACGACUUCCCCGCUUAUGGAAAUUUAUCUGGUUACGUUAUGAGGAUGAUGAAGAAUGUACUUAUUAGUGCCCCUCAUAUCAAACAUUUCUUGUCGAAACAGUUCACCUCUGACAAACCAUAUACUACUCAAGAAAUUGACGAAGUUCGAGAAGAAUGGGCAAUGUCAUUUUUACAAUUGGUUAGAGCAAAAUGAAUGAUGUUAUAGCUAGCUAAUUACAAUACACAUGUUCAGAAAUUUUAAAUUUAUUUUGCAAAUUUUAUUUCAAUUUUUUUAGUAUUUUA
Long non-coding RNA from Humulus lupulus (European hop), 1754 nucleotides. RefSeq lists it as uncharacterized. Lineage: Eukaryota; Viridiplantae; Streptophyta; Magnoliopsida; Rosales; Cannabaceae. The record is from RefSeq and is a predicted model, not a curated record. The transcript has 6 exons.